GUCGUAACAAGGUUUCCGUAGGUGAACCUGCGGAAGGAUCAUUAUCGAGUUUUGAAAGGGGUUGUAGCUGGCCUUUCGAGGCAUGUGCACGCCCCGCUCAAUCCACUCUACACCUGUGCACUUACUGUAGGUUUCGGAGGCGAAGCGGGCUUCAUCGCUCGCGGACCCGACGGGCUUACGUUUUAUUACAAACCCUUCAGUAUCAGAACGUGUAUCGCGGAUUAACGCAUUAAAUACAACUUUCAGCAACGGAUCUCUUGGCUCUCGCAUCGAUGAAGAACGCAGCGAAAUGCGAUAAGUAAUGUGAAUUGCAGAAUUCAGUGAAUCAUCGAAUCUUUGAACGCACCUUGCGCUCCUCGGUAUUCCGAGGAGCAUGCCUGUUUGAGUGUCAUGAAAUUCUCAACCUACGAGCCUUUGCGGGUUUAGUAGGAUUGGACUUGGAGGCUUGUCGGCCUUGUCGGUCGGCUCCUCUCGAAUGCAUUAGCUUGGUUCCUUGCGGAUCGGCUCUCGGUGUGAUAAUUGUCUACGCCGCGACCGUGAAGUGUUUGGCGAGCUUCUAACGGUCUCUUCGGAGACGAUCUUAUGACCUCUGACCUCAAAUCAGGUAGGACUA
This 613-nucleotide ribosomal RNA is filed under the name Perenniporia fergusii. Its description in RNAcentral is "eukaryotic LSU rRNA". The stretch from base 238 to 391 matches the Rfam family "5.8S ribosomal RNA". Lineage: Eukaryota; Fungi; Basidiomycota; Agaricomycetes; Polyporales; Polyporaceae. The record is from RNAcentral.